UACGGAGGGUGCAAGCGUUAUCCGGAUUUACUGGGUUUAAAGGGUGUGUAGGCGGACUUUUAAGUCAGCGGUGAAAUCUCCGGGCUCAACCCGGAAACUGCCAUUGAUACUAUUUGUCUUGAAUGUUGUUGAGGUGGGCGGAAUGGGUCAUGUAGCGGUGAAAUGCAUAGAUAUGACCCGGAACACCUAUUGCGAAGGCAGCAGGCUAAACAAAGAUUGACGCUGAGGCUCGAAAGCGUGGGGAUCAAACAGG
This 253-nucleotide ribosomal RNA is filed under the name uncultured bacterium. RNAcentral describes it as "partial 16S ribosomal RNA". It matches the Rfam family "Bacterial small subunit ribosomal RNA", at positions 524 to 776 of the family's 1533-position model. The record is from RNAcentral.